GACGAACGCUGGCGGCAUGCCUAAUACAUGCAAGUCGAGCGAACAGGUGAAGUGCUUGCACUUCUGACGUUAGCGGCGAACGGGUGAGUAACACGUAAGGAAUCUACCUAUAAGCGGGGGAUAACAUUCGGAAACGGGUGCUAAUACCGCAUAAUAUCUUCUUCCGCAUGGAAGAAGAUUGAAAGACGGCUCUGCUGUCACUUAUAGAUGACCUUGCGGUGCAUUAGUUAGUUGGUGGGGUAACGGCCUACCAAGACGAUGAUGCAUAGCCGACCUGAGCGGGUGAUCGGCCACAUUGGGACUGGGACACGGCCCAAACUCCUACGGGAGGCAGCAGUAGGGAAUCUUCCGCAAUGGGCGAAAGCCUGACGGAGCAAUGCCGCGUGAGUGAAGAAGGCCUUCGGGUCGUAAAACUCUGUUAUAAGAGAAGAACAAAUUGUAGAGUAACUGCUACAGUCUUGACGGUAUCUUAACAGAAAGCCACGGCUAACUACGUGCCAGCAGCCGCAGUAA
Molecule: ribosomal RNA, 513 nt
Filed under: uncultured bacterium
Lineage: Bacteria
Description: partial 16S ribosomal RNA
Rfam family: Bacterial small subunit ribosomal RNA
Source: RNAcentral